Molecule: long non-coding RNA, 790 nt
Organism: Homo sapiens (human)
Lineage: Eukaryota; Metazoa; Chordata; Mammalia; Primates; Hominidae
Gene: RASSF1-AS1
Product: RASSF1 antisense RNA 1
Source: Ensembl
ACACGCACGCUUCGCCCCCAGGAAUGACCUCAUCGCUCCGGAGCUCCACUCACAGACCCCACCUACCACAGGGAACGGGGGCGGGUGCCAGCGUCCGGGCAAGCGCACAAGAGUGGCCUCUGGCCGGAGGCGAGGGCGGGAAGGUGCGGGAAGUGCGCGUGCGCGGAGCCUGGGUCAGCCUGGGCCCGGGUCCGCUUGCAGCGGGUGGAGUACUUGCGGAGCCGGCAAUCCAGGCUCCCCUCCCAGCCCCCGCGCAGAAUUAGCCUCUCUGUGCCGCCGGGAAAUCGGCAAUUAGAACGCUCCUUGCGCGCGGCACCCAGGCAGCCCUCGAGAAUGCCUGCACUGUGGCCUGCCCAUCCUCGCCCUUCCCAUACGCCCUCGGCCCCGCGCUCACCACGUUCGUGUCCCGCUCCACCGCGGGUUCCCAGCCCAGGUCCCGGGGCCCGCAACAGUCCAGGCAGACGAGCGCGCGGCAGCGGUAGUGGCAGGUGAACUUGCAAUCUGCAGAGAGGCCUGGCGGUGAGGCGGAGGAGCUCCAGGUCGGGGAAAUGUCCCGGAGAUUGAAGGGAAGCCCCAGGGAGAGGGCCGCUGCUCGCCAGGCUCCGCAGGCCCGACCUAUCUCAGUGGGUUACCUCACACUGCUACGCGGACUCUAAUGUUGGCCACCUGGGCGUCUGGAAACCGGCCGGAAGGCCACAGGCAGAGAGGCCUGCUCAACAGUUGGAUCUCUAUCGCCUAGCACAGAACUUCCCCUUUCCUCAUUGGCAAUUAAAAAAACAACAACAAAAAA